CUGUGCCGGUUAGAUUGGGAUACUCAUCAAUAAUUACAGAAAUACCGAGGCAGCUGGUUUGCUCAAUGGCGGGCCGUCGUGCCCACUCUCCGCAAGGCGUGUGAGCAGAGUCGGAUUACAGCGACAAGCCAGUCCUCAAAUCCUUUUUCCUCGGAGUUUCAUCACAUCACCGGUACAGCCGC
Molecule: small RNA, 182 nt
Filed under: uncultured Alloprevotella sp.
Lineage: Bacteria; Pseudomonadati; Bacteroidota; Bacteroidia; Bacteroidales; Prevotellaceae
Description: Bacteroidales-1 6S-Bacteroidales RNA suggested
Rfam family: Bacteroidales-1 6S-Bacteroidales RNA suggested
Source: RNAcentral